UACAGAGGUGGCAAGCGUUGUUCGGAAUUACUGGGCGUAAAGGGCGCGUAGGCGGCCUUCUAAGUCAGACGUGAAAUCCCCCGGCUUAACCUGGGAACUGCGUCUGAUACUGGGAGGCUUGAGUAUGGGAGAGGGAUGUAGGAUUCCAGGUGUAGCGGUGAAAUGCGUAGAUAUCUGGAGGAAUACCGGUGGCGAAGGCGGCAUCCUGGACCAUAACUGACGCUGAGGCGCGAAAGCUAGGGGAGCAAACGGG
Molecule: ribosomal RNA, 253 nt
Filed under: uncultured bacterium
Lineage: Bacteria
Description: partial 16S ribosomal RNA
Rfam family: Bacterial small subunit ribosomal RNA
Source: RNAcentral